GUAACAAGGUCUCCGUUGGUGAACCAGCGGAGGGAUCAUUACCGAGUUUACAACUCCCAAACCCCUGUGAACAUACCUAUCGUUGCUUCGGCGGGAUCGCCCCGGCGCCAUCGCGGCCCGGACCCAGGCGCCCGCCGGAGGACCCAAACUCUUGAAUUUAUGAAGUAUCUUCUGAGUAAACAAGCAAAUAAAUUAAAACUUUCAACAACGGAUCUCUUGGUUCUGGCAUCGAUGAAGAACGCAGCGAAAUGCGAUAAGUAAUGUGAAUUGCAGAAUUCCGUGAAUCAUCGAAUCUUUGAACGCACAUUGCGCCCGCCAGUAUUCUGGCGGGCAUGCCUGUUCGAGCGUCAUUUCAACCCUCAAGCCCCCGGGCUUGGUGUUGGGGCUCGGCCCGUCCCUAGCGGCGGCGCCGUCCCCUAAAUUUAUUGGCGGUCUCGCUGCAGCCUCCUCUGCGUAGUAGCUAACACCUCGCAACGGGAACUCAGCGCGGCCACGCCGUUAAACCCCCCAACUUCUGAAAGGUUGACCUCGGAUCAGGUAGGAAUACCCGCUGAACUUAAGCAUAUCA
Molecule: ribosomal RNA, 568 nt
Filed under: Fusarium sp. 1 AE-2013
Lineage: Eukaryota; Fungi; Ascomycota; Sordariomycetes; Hypocreales; Nectriaceae
Description: eukaryotic LSU rRNA
Rfam family: 5.8S ribosomal RNA (bases 197-350)
Source: RNAcentral